AACGAACGCUGGCGGCAGGCCUAACACAUGCAAGUCGAACGCUCGUAGCAAUACGGGAGUGGCAGACGGGUGAGUAACACGUGGGAACCUUCCCUAUGGUUCGGAAUAGCUCAGGGAAACUUGGGGUAAUACCGGAUAAGCCCUUCGGGGAAAGAUUUAUCGCCAUUGGAUGGGCCCGCGUCGGAUUAGCUAGUUGGUGAGGUAACGGCUCACCAAGGCAACGAUCCGUAGCUGGUCUGAGAGGAUGAUCAGCCACACUGGGACUGAGACACGGCCCAGACUCCUACGGGAGGCAGCAGUGGGGAAUUUUUCGCAAUGGGCGCAAGCCUGACGAAGCAACGCCGCGUGGAGGAUGAAGGCCUUC
This 364-nucleotide ribosomal RNA is filed under the name uncultured bacterium. Its description in RNAcentral is "bacterial SSU rRNA". It matches the Rfam family "Bacterial small subunit ribosomal RNA", at positions 29 to 419 of the family's 1533-position model. The record is from RNAcentral.